GGCUGUGAGUCGGUGUGGCUAAUUGUCUAUACAUAGUGGCUGUGAGUCGGUCUGGCUAAUAGUCUAUACAUAGUGGCUGUGAGUCGGUGUGGCUAAUUGUCUAUACAUAGUGGCUGUGAGUGUGUGAGAGAUAAGAACACAAUGAUUAGUCCUAAAUGUCCUGAGACAUCACACUGAGACAACAGAACAGAGAAGGUCAGAACAGUACAGAACAGAGCAGAACAGAACAGAACAGAGCAGAGCAGGUCACAACAGAAAAGAACAGAGCAGAACAGAACAGAGCAGAGCAGGUCACAACAGAAAAGAACAGAGCAGAGCAGAACAGAGCAGAUCAGAACAGAGCAGUGCAGAACAGGUCAGAACAGAACAGAAAAGAACAGAGCAGGUCAGAACAGAAAGGAACAGAGCAGGUCAGAACAGAACAGAACAGAACAGAACAGGUCAGAACAGAACAGAGCAGAGCAGAGCAAAGCAGAACAAGUCAGAACAGAGCAAAGCAGAACAGAACAGAACAGAGCAGAACAGAACAGAACAGGUCAGAACAGAGCAGAGCAGAACAGGUCAGAACAGAACAGAGCAGAACAGAACAGAGCAGAGCAGGUCAGAACAGACCAGAGCAGGUCAGAACAGUGCAGAGCAGUGCAGAGCACAACAGAGCACAACAGAGCAGGUCAGAACAGUGCAGAGCAGAACAGAGCAGAACAGGUCAGAACAGAGCACAACAGAACAGAGCACAACAGUGCAGAACAGAGACCUUAAUAACUACAGGCUUAUCUCUGACACACAACACCUAAGCUACACUCAUACACAGUCUGACUGUGACACAGGAUUUUAUCAGCGAAACUAAUUCAAAUAUGUCAAUCUCUUACAGAUCCUAAAGUAAACACAGGUAACCUCCAUUUGCACUGUGGUUUCCUUGUUCAUAUGUCUAAGUUCAUGUCAACAUCUCUCAACGUCUAGAUUCCAAACGGUGCCAGUCGGCCCUGAGUGUCAAACAGACCAGGGGACGAGGCCCCGCCGGCUGUCUGAGGAACGGACCAGGGGACGAGGCCCCGCCGGCUGUCUGAGGAACGGACCAGGGGACGAGGCCCCGCCGGCUGUCUGAGGAACGGACCAGGGGACGAGGCCCCGCCGGCUGUCUGAG
This 1144-nucleotide long non-coding RNA is filed under the name Salmo salar (Atlantic salmon). RNAcentral's name for it is "lncRNA (ENSSSAG00000104903.1)". Lineage: Eukaryota; Metazoa; Chordata; Actinopteri; Salmoniformes; Salmonidae. The record is from RNAcentral.